CCUACGGGAGGCAGCAGUAAGGAAUAUUGGUCAAUGGAGGCAACUCUGAACCAGCCAUGCCGCGUGCAGGAUGACGGCCCUAUGGGUUGUAAACUGCUUUUAUACAAGAGAAAACCCUGGUACGUGUACCAGGUUGAUAGUAUUGUAAGAAUAAGCAUCGGCUAACUUCGUGCCAGCAGCCGCGGUAAGACGAAGGAUGCAAGCGUUAUCCGGAUUCAUUGGGUUUAAAGGGUGCGUAGGCGGACUGAUAAGUCAGUGGUGAAAUCUCUUUGCUUAACAAGAACUGCCAUUGAUACUGUCGGUCUAGAGUAUAGAUGACGUUGGCGGAAUAUGACAUGUAGUGGUGAAAUACUUAGAUAUGUCAUAGAACACCGAUUGCGAAGGCAGCUAACGAAACUAUAACUGACGCUGAGGCACGAAAGUGGNGGAGUACACAGAUAGUAUACCUACGUAGUCGCACGUAACGA
This 467-nucleotide ribosomal RNA is filed under the name uncultured bacterium. RNAcentral describes it as "bacterial SSU rRNA". It matches the Rfam family "Bacterial small subunit ribosomal RNA", at positions 338 to 809 of the family's 1533-position model. The record is from RNAcentral.